Molecule: long non-coding RNA, 513 nt
Filed under: Homo sapiens (human)
Lineage: Eukaryota; Metazoa; Chordata; Mammalia; Primates; Hominidae
Description: HSALNT0004914
Source: RNAcentral
AUGACAGCCGCCCUCUGUGUGGCAGGAUAGACUUUGCUCUGUUUUAAGUCACUGGAGGAAACCGGUUGGCUUUGCUUUGGUUUUGAGAACCAGUGGGGAAGAGGGUAGGCAUACUGGGCUGGGCGCCUUUCCCUCUUUGAGUAGUUUUGCGUGAGAUAAGGAAGAGCAGAAUGUGUAAUUGUAGGGCCAAAAUAAUCUUGUUUGUAAACAGUGCCUGUGAGCUCCUUUAGUGCUUCCUAAUGGCCGUGCUGUGCAAGUUGUUGGUUGGGUUAAUCUAGACAGUCCUCAUUCAUUCAUUCAUUCAUUUCUCACAUGACCACAACAAGAGUCCUUGCCUAGAGGCAAGUGCUAGACAGCAUAGUGGUUAAGAGUAGGCUUUGGAGCCAGACUUCCUGAGUUCAAAUUCUGGCUCAGCAACUUUCCAGCUGUGUGUACCUGGGCACAUUGCUUAGUCUCCCUGUGCCUCAGUGUCUUCGUCUAUAAAACAAGGAUGAUAACAGAGAGAGAUAUUAU